RNAcentral lists this long non-coding RNA (400 nucleotides) under Ananas comosus (pineapple). Its description in RNAcentral is "long non-coding RNA (ACOM_LNC001865)". Lineage: Eukaryota; Viridiplantae; Streptophyta; Magnoliopsida; Poales; Bromeliaceae. The record is from RNAcentral.
AAGUGUAUGCGUGUCGACAUGUAUAUUUUUGUAUCAUGUUUUUAGCUCGAAUUUAUCGAUUAGCAUGUUAAACGAAAUCUGAAUUUGGAGUAUACUGUAGUGAGUUAGAUAAAUGAUACAUGUUGGACUUGAAUUUGACAUAGGAGAAAACCGGCGAUUCUAUAAUGUCAUAUGUUGAAACUACCAGAUUUAGCUCUAGGAGCCGUAGUUUGUUUUUAUCGCCACAGUUUAUGGGCAGUGAAUACUCGGAAUAGUGUAGAAUGCAUUUACGCUCGUGCUGGGAUGCCGAGUGUAUUUUUACAGCAGUGUUUAGGCUGUACCGGAUUGUCGGGUGCCGUUGAGGUUGACGAUGGACCCAGAUUGCUGUUUUUGCAUCAGAUUGUACCGAGGGCACAUGAGU